This 341-nucleotide long non-coding RNA is filed under the name Ananas comosus (pineapple). RNAcentral describes it as "long non-coding RNA (ACOM_LNC032370)". The record is from RNAcentral. Lineage: Eukaryota; Viridiplantae; Streptophyta; Magnoliopsida; Poales; Bromeliaceae.
AAAAUUGGGUAUAUUACACUUUUGAUCCUCAAAUUGUGAGGUCUGCAACACUUUAGUUCUCGAACUUUAAUUCAUUACAAUUUCUAACUCGGACUAUAAGGUUCAUGACAUUUUAGUCCUCAAAUUAAAUUAGUUAUAAUUUCUAGCUCGAACUACGAGGUAUAUGAUGUUUUAGUUCUCGAAUUUUUCAAAUUAUUACAAUUAAGUCCCGCAAUCUUAUUUUUUUAAUAAAUAUUGAUGAAUUACUAACAUCAAAGUAACGUUGUACUUUAAUAAUUUAAUUAAUUGAUGAGUCAUCAAGUAGAAUAUUGUUAUAAUUCAGAAAUCAGAAAGUUCGAGAA